UACGAAGGGGGCUAGCGUUGCUCGGAAUCACUGGGCGUAAAGGGUGCGUAGGCGGGUCUUUAAGUCAGGGGUGAAAUCCUGGAGCUCAACUCCAGAACUGCCUUUGAUACUGAAGAUCUUGAGUUCGGGAGAGGUGAGUGGAACUGCGAGUGUAGAGGUGAAAUUCGUAGAUAUUCGCAAGAACACCAGUGGCGAAAGCGGCUUCCUGGACCAGUACCGACGUUCAGGCACGAAAGCGUGGGGAGCAAACAGG
RNAcentral lists this ribosomal RNA (253 nucleotides) under uncultured bacterium. RNAcentral's name for it is "partial 16S ribosomal RNA". It matches the Rfam family "Bacterial small subunit ribosomal RNA", at positions 524 to 776 of the family's 1533-position model. The record is from RNAcentral.